Molecule: ribosomal RNA, 454 nt
Filed under: uncultured bacterium
Lineage: Bacteria
Description: partial 16S ribosomal RNA
Rfam family: Bacterial small subunit ribosomal RNA
Source: RNAcentral
GAUGAACGCUGGCAGAAUGCUUAACACAUGCAAGUCAACUUGAACUUCGGUUUGGGUGGCGGACUGGUGAGUAACGCGUAAAGAACUUGCCUCACAGCUAGGGACAACAUUUGGAAACGAAUGCUAAUACCUGAUAUUAUGAUUAUAUGGCAUCUUAUAAUUAUGAAAGCUAUAUGCGCUGUGAGAGAGCUUUGCGUCCCAUUAGCUAGUUGGGGAGGUAACAGCUCACCAAGGAGAUGAUGGGUAGCCGGCCUGAGAGGGUGAUCGGCCACAAGGGGACUGAGACACGGCCCUUACUCCUACGGGAGGCAGCAGUGGGGAAUAUUGGAAACUGGACCGAGAGUCUGAUGCAGCAAUUCUGUGUGCAAGAUGAAGUUUUUCGGAAUGUAAAGUGCUUUAAGUUGGGAAGAAAAAAAUGACGGUACCAACAGAAGAAGUGACGGCUAAAUACGUG